UGGGGAAUAUUGGACAAUGGGCGAAAGCCUGAUCCAGCCAUGCCGCGUGUGUGAAGAAGGUCUUCGGAUUGUAAAGCACUUUAAGUUGGGAGGAAGGGCAUUAACCUAAUACGUUAGUGUUUUGACGUUACCGACAGAAUAAGCACCGGCUAACUCUGUGCCAGCAGCCGCGGUAAUACAGAGGGUGAAAGCGUUAAUCGGAAUUACUGGGCGUAAAGCGCGCGUAGGUGGUUUGUUAAGUUGGAUUGGAAAUCCCCGGGCUCAACCUGGGAACUGCAUUCAAAACUGACUGACUAGAGUAUGGUAGAGGGUGGUGGAAUUUCCUGUGUAGCGGUGAAAUGCGUAGAUAUAGGAAGGAACACCAGUGGCGAAGGCGACCACCUGGACUAAUACUGACACUGAGGUGCGAAAGCGUGGGGAGCAAACA
This 427-nucleotide ribosomal RNA is filed under the name uncultured bacterium. RNAcentral's name for it is "partial 16S ribosomal RNA". It matches the Rfam family "Bacterial small subunit ribosomal RNA", at positions 355 to 774 of the family's 1533-position model. The record is from RNAcentral.